GCCCGGGAGAGGGGCCGGGCGGGACGGUACAGCAACCGGAGGAACCUUGAUUCCCUGCCCCGCAAGCCCAGCACCGGUUUUGCCGCCUUGUCUCGAAGGGUCAACCAGGCCAUCUCCUGCCUCGGGACGGAGAGCGCCCUGGAAAAGGCGGAGGGGCCGACCUUAGUCACACAAGAGCGAUGGCAAGAUUUUCACCCAAGCCAUCUGACUUGGAACCCAUGGAUUAACCAACUGCCACUGGAGGCAAAUCCAGAGACCAAGGGAGCAGUUUAUACAGAAACAGAUGCCGGCAUUAACCCACAGGGAGUUAUUGUUACAGACUGAAGAAUAGAAAAAGAAAAAGCCAAAUAGAGCCUUAUUCCACCCAGCUUAGCUUCCAUAGAACAUUGUGAAUGAGAGAGUAGAUUCUUGAGAAAAUCCUGGGGUUACCCAGUUUUCAUGACUCGUUUCGUUAGACCAUCAUUUCCCAAAGUGUGUUCUUUAUAAAAAGUAGUUCUUCAGAAGGCUGGAAAGUAUUGUUUGGAAGGGGGUUCCGUGAUGAAGUCAGUUUGGAAUGCAGGCUUUACCCAGUUUUGAGAAGAUUCUUUGCAGGACUUCUCAGGGCCUUUGUGAAUCUCCAAAGAAAGAAUGUAGUGUGAAGUAUGAAAACUUUCUCCUGGCUGAUGGAACACACUUUGCAAAGCACUUCCACAGACCAAUAUGAUUUCCAGUAAGAGCUAAAUAAAUUUUGUUAGUUGUUAAGGCAUAAAACAUUAAUAUAGGAUAUUACAGUCCUAGGCUUACAUUACUUAAUUUGGAUUUUUUGCAAAAAUUAACUUUAAUGUGAAAAAUUAGGAGACAAUAUAGAGAAAAUUCAAGAGCCUCUCCAGAUAAAUUCUUAGAACUAAUGAGAAAGUUCACUAAAGUUUCUGGAUAUAAAAUGCCCAGGGCACCGGAGGGGGAAAUACUUUCUUGUAUAUUAAUAGCAA
RNAcentral lists this long non-coding RNA (968 nucleotides) under Homo sapiens (human). RNAcentral's name for it is "HSALNT0390744". The record is from RNAcentral. Lineage: Eukaryota; Metazoa; Chordata; Mammalia; Primates; Hominidae.